AUUCCUUAAACCAAAGAAAGAACUAUUUACAAAGUAUACCUAACAUUAUACUGAUUUUUUAAGAUAAAAAAACAGAUUCCAGGUUUUAGUAAUGGUUAUCUUUUGAGCUGGGGGUCUUAAAGGUAAUUAUUAUUUUUCAUAUUGGUGCCCACACAUCUUCUUAAAAAUUGUGUACAAUCAGUAUGCAGUACUUUAGUAAUUAAAACACAAUCAUACAUCCAUUAAUGUUAUAAAAUGAAGAGAUCAAAAAUAAAUACGUGGUUUGAGGCCAUAACUAAUUCUAAUUUGGUUUCAGUCCUCCACCUCUAGUACUACAAGGAAUUGAAUAGGAUGACCCCUCGCCAAUAUCAUGCUCAACUUGGACAUUCUAUGAAUCAGUGUUCUUUGCCUUGCCAAAUACAUUAUAACUGACUAGACUGAGAGAAACUAUUUAUUCUAUUUAAGACAACACAUGAUCCUAGCAUGACAGGUAUUCUCACAGGAACACAAAUGGAUGCUGGCUGGGGUUUGUAAAUAACAAUGAUGG
RNAcentral lists this long non-coding RNA (526 nucleotides) under Bos taurus (domestic cattle). RNAcentral's name for it is "long non-coding RNA NONBTAT024665". Lineage: Eukaryota; Metazoa; Chordata; Mammalia; Artiodactyla; Bovidae. The record is from RNAcentral.